This 68-nucleotide transfer RNA is filed under the name Synapturanus sp. MZUSP 159215. RNAcentral's name for it is "tRNA-Arg". Lineage: Eukaryota; Metazoa; Chordata; Amphibia; Anura; Microhylidae. The record is from RNAcentral.
GAGAAACUAGUCUAACCAAAGACAAUUGAUUUCGACUCAAUUAAUUAUGAUACUUCCAUAGUUUCUUA